CCUACGGGGCGCAGCAGUUGAGAAUCAUUCACAAUGGGGGAAACCCUGAUGGUGCGACGCCGCGUGGGGGAAUGAAGGUCUUCGGAUUGUAAACCCCUGUCAUGUGGGAGCAAAUUAAAAAGAUAGUACCACAAGAGGAAGAGACGGCUAACUCUGUGCCAGCAGCCGCGGUAAUACAGAGGUCUCAAGCGUUGUUCGGAAUCACUGGGCGUAAAGCGUGCGUAGGCUGUUUCGUAAGUCGUGUGUGAAAGGCGCGGGCUCAACCCGCGGACGGCACAUGAUACUGCGAGACUAGAGUAAUGGAGGGGGAACCGGAAUGCUCGGUGUAGCAGUGAAAUGCGGAGAUAGCGAGAGGAACACUCGUGGCGAAGGCGGGUUCCUGGACAUUAACUGACGCUGAGGCACGAAGGCCAGGGGAGCGAAAGGGAUUAGAUACCCGAGUAGUC
RNAcentral lists this ribosomal RNA (446 nucleotides) under uncultured bacterium. RNAcentral's name for it is "partial 16S ribosomal RNA". It matches the Rfam family "Bacterial small subunit ribosomal RNA", at positions 338 to 795 of the family's 1533-position model. The record is from RNAcentral.